UGCCAGCAGCCGCGGUAAUACGGAGGGGGUUAGCGCUGUUCGGAAUUACUGGGCGUAAAGCGCACGUAGGCGGAUUAGAAAGUUAGAGGUGAAAUCCCGGGGCUCAACCCCGGAACUGCCUUUAAAACUACUAGUCUAGAGUUCGAGAGAGGGAAGUGGAAUUCCGGGUGUAGCGGUGAAAUGCGUAGAUAUCCGGAGGAACACCAGUGGCGAAGGCGACUUCCUGGUCCAAUACUGACGCUGAUGUGCGAAAGCGUGGGGAGCAAACAGGAUUAGAUA
RNAcentral lists this ribosomal RNA (279 nucleotides) under uncultured bacterium. Its description in RNAcentral is "partial 16S ribosomal RNA". It matches the Rfam family "Bacterial small subunit ribosomal RNA", at positions 506 to 784 of the family's 1533-position model. The record is from RNAcentral.